Danio aesculapii is the source of this 1608-nucleotide long non-coding RNA. RefSeq lists it as uncharacterized. The transcript is spliced from 4 exons. NCBI's taxonomy places the organism in Eukaryota, Metazoa, Chordata, Actinopteri, Cypriniformes, Danionidae. The record is from RefSeq and is a predicted model, not a curated record.
CUACGAGAAAACAAGAUGAACUAUUAAAUGAAAUUGUUGAUUUCCAUUUGGAAAUACACCAUAUUUCCCUGUGGCCAGUGCUCUGAUUUGAUUUAAUUUGUAGGCCAGAAUAAGGGAGUUACUAGAAGAUCUGCAUUCUUGUCUUGCUUGCUUUUAAACUGAUUUUUAAAAAGCACCAACAUAUAGGAACAUAUUUUGAGAAGAAUUUCAGUUCAGGAUACAGUGUUUUCACACAGGAGUGGACAAAAGGAUUCUUCAAUUACAUAUUCACUUUCUGUUCCAUCUGUGUAUUCGCAGUGCUGAUAAAUCAAGGAUCUCUUCAGGUCACAAUUGAGGGUGUUAUUGGUGGCUCUGCUCUCCUGCCAUGUUCUUUAACUAAACAUGAUCUAAAACCACAGGAGGUGCACUGGAGAUACAAUGACAAGGAGGAGGUGUUUGACAUUAUUAAUGGUGAAGAUUCACUAAAGAUGCAGAACCAGCAGUACAAGAACAGAGUUGAAUCUUUCCCUGAUGAGUAUCUGAGAGGAAACUUCUCCAUCAAACUAAGCAAUCUUCAACAGACUGAUGCUGGAAAAUACAUCUGUUACAUCUCACAUACAUCUGAACAGCAAACUGUGAAGCUGAUCAUCAAAGCUAAUGAAGGAGCCACGAAGGAAAACCUACAAAACCAUGGAGAAGUAAAAGGUCUAGAUGUGACUUUGUGCUGGCUUUGCGCUGUAGCAGCUGUAGUACUGUACUUAUAUUGAUCAUCUUUAUAUUUCAUUUUAAGAAAAAAGAAUUACAUCUGUUUUGUUCUUUUAAAGAACAAAGGAUUGUGACUGUUCCAGGUGUGUUUUGUGCAGAGCUUUAAAAAAAAAUCUAUUCGGUUUACUCUGACCAGAAUUGAUAUUUUAACGUUUCUGUUCUUGCUUUCCUUAUUAAACAAUUCAUUCCGAAAAAAAGGUUUUCUAGAAAAAUACAAUUUAAUAAUGUUAUUUUAUUACAUAGCACAAAAUAUUAGAUUGUUAAUAUUGUAUUCUUAGCCAUUAAGACAAGCUUGUCGCAUCAGAAACGACUCUCGCUUAUGACGUCUGCUUCGUGGGCAUUUCACAUUCUAUGCAUUACCGUUGCAUUUGUACACACUAUUUAAAUUAUUGCUUUUUGUCUCCCAACUGUUUAUAAUAAAGAGAACAGUAAUAUAACGUUAUUAACCAGUUAGUUGUAAUUUCAAAUAAGCGUUUCUUGUUCAGAAUGAAGGCGUCACGGUGGCGCAGCGGGUAGCACGAUCGUUCAUUCCGCUGUGGCGACCACUGAUUAAUAAAGGGACUAAGCUGAAAAGAAAAUAAAUGAAAGUUCAGGUGUGCGUUUCCCAAACAAUGACGUAAAUCGCGGCUGAACUAUCGUAGUACGAUGCAUUAUUUUGGAAAAGCAUGAUGUAGUGAUGAGUGUUUCCCAAAACCCGUAGUUUCUCUGUCGCAGAUCCAUCGUUUGAACUAAGUUAGUCAUAACGUAAAAUGCCCAUAAUGAUGCUCUAAACGGGGGGGAGUAACUACUUCUUAAGAGAAGAACCCCAUCAUUUCUUUGUGCAAAUUAUAUUGUUACACACACACACACACACACACACACACA